GAUGAACGCUGGCGGCGUGCCUAAUACAUGUAAGUCGAGCGAACAGACGAGGAGCUUGCUCCUCUGACGUUAGCGGCGGACGGGUGAGUAACACGUGGAUAACCUACCUAUAAGACUGGGAUAACUUCGGGAAACCGGAGCUAAUACCGGAUAAUAUAUUGAACCGCAUGGUUCAAUAGUGAAAGACGGAUUUGCUGUCACUUAUAGAUGGAUCCGCGCCGCAUUAGCUAGUUGGUAAGGUAACGGCUUACCAAGGCAACGAUGCGUAGCCGACCUGAGAGGGUGAUCGGCCACACUGGAACUGAGACACGGUCCAGACUCCUACGGGAGGCAGCAGUAGGGAAUCUUCCGCAAUGGGCGAAAGCCUGACGGAGCAACGCCGCGUGAGUGAUGAAGGUCUUCGGAUCGUAAAACUCUGUUAUUAGGGAAGAACAAAUGUGUAAGUAACUAUGCACGUCUUGACGGUACCUAAUCAGAAAGCCACGGCUAACUACGUG
This 497-nucleotide ribosomal RNA is filed under the name uncultured bacterium. RNAcentral's name for it is "partial 16S ribosomal RNA". It matches the Rfam family "Bacterial small subunit ribosomal RNA", at positions 28 to 507 of the family's 1533-position model. The record is from RNAcentral.